RNAcentral lists this long non-coding RNA (801 nucleotides) under Homo sapiens (human). RNAcentral describes it as "HSALNT0354668". The record is from RNAcentral. Lineage: Eukaryota; Metazoa; Chordata; Mammalia; Primates; Hominidae.
UAACUGUUGGAGGGGCUUCUGGAAAAAUACAAUAUUGCUCUUAAAAAGAAAUACAUGAAAGAACAUUUCUGCUUCUGCAUGUACAGUCAGUCAAUAUGACAUCUCAUAUUUUCUAAGAUUUAAAAGAAAGAUGGGGCAAAUGUGUAUGGGGAAUAGUGUCAUGAGAUGGAGUGGAAGAGCGGGUAGGUUACAGGUCAAGUAGGACCUGGUAGGUCAUGGUGAGAAGUUGAAAACUUAUUUUAAAUGCUAUGGGAAACUAUACAAAAUUUCCAAGAGAGUUAGUAACACAAGCUUGUUUUUCAAAAAUCACGCUGGCUGUUUUUGUAGUGCAUGGAUUGAAAGAGAUGGGCAAAUUCAAGUACAUGGCUGCUAAAUAUGUUCUCCAUGAUUUUCUUCAUCAGGUCAUUAGAAGAUGAUAAUAAUACAAACAAUUUUUGUUCAUGGUGGGGUGGACAGAAUAUGCCAUCCCAAGAUGUGAAAGAUGGCUGAACUGAAAACAAUUAAGAAGACACAGAUAUAGGAAAGCUCUCUGUACUCCAUCUAUUUGCCUAAAAGCAGAGCAUAGAUUUACAAGGGCAACCCCCUCACUCACCCCACCUUAUACCAAGGAGAAAAAGGUUAAUCGCCAAAGACAGCUUUACAUCUUUAUCGGUCUGGAGAUGGUCCCAGAGGGAAUCUACAUUAAGAAGCUCUACUAACUAACAUUUUUCUGCCAGUUAUUUGCCUUCUUCCAAGUUGCAGUCCUUAAAGGCUCAAAGUCCUUUUCCUUCGGUUACUUCUCUGAAACUUUAUUGCUCUUUG